GCUGCGUUCAUUGAUGUUGCUGGAAUCGGUACAGACAGAGAGCCCUGGCCUUCUUGUAGGCUACCAGUGCUGGGAGGAAGAAUGCUACUGUAGGCCUAGCAGAGACAGGGAGUGUGGUAGAGUGUGGAUAAUUGGUGACAGCUAUGUCCAGCAUGGUGGUCUGAGAGCUGCAGAGAGCUUAGGAAGCAUCUUCACCCUGCUGGUCUGGCUGGCUUCUCCCCUCUGAUGUAGGACGUGUGACGGCCCCUGCUGAGUCUACGUCUACCUGAUGUGGAGCGCCUGGCCCCAUUGCGCUUCAGGAUAUAAAAGUCCCACUUUCCAUCGUGGCUGGCUCUCUUCUCUGACAGCACCUGCACUGGUCGCAGGGGGGCUGGAG
Long non-coding RNA from Micropterus dolomieu (smallmouth bass), 376 nucleotides. RefSeq lists it as uncharacterized. The transcript has 3 exons. The record is from RefSeq and is a predicted model, not a curated record. Lineage: Eukaryota; Metazoa; Chordata; Actinopteri; Centrarchiformes; Centrarchidae.